GGCGGAAUUGGCAGACGCGCUGGACUCAAAAUCCAGUGUCCGUUGAGGACGUGCCGGUUCGACCCCGGCC
Molecule: transfer RNA, 70 nt
Filed under: Enterococcus faecium
Lineage: Bacteria; Bacillati; Bacillota; Bacilli; Lactobacillales; Enterococcaceae
Description: tRNA-Leu
Rfam family: tRNA
About the family: Transfer RNA (tRNA) molecules are approximately 80 nucleotides in length. Their secondary structure includes four short double-helical elements and three loops (D, anti-codon, and T loops).
Source: RNAcentral